Molecule: non-coding RNA, 94 nt
Filed under: Paramoeba aestuarina
Lineage: Eukaryota; Discosea; Flabellinia; Dactylopodida; Paramoebidae
Source: RNAcentral
UCCCUCCCUCUCCCUCUCCCUUUCCCUCUCCCGUUGUGUCCUCUUCCCUCUUCUCCCUCUUUGAGUGGAGCACCAAAAAAGAGAACAAAAAAUG